AGUGAACGCUGGCGGUAUGCCUAACACAUGCAAGUCGAACGGCAGCACAGUAAGAGCUUGCUCUUACGGGUGGCGAGUGGCGGACGGGUGAGGAAUACAUCGGAAUCUACUUUUUCGUGGGGGAUAACGUAGGGAAACUUACGCUAAUACCGCAUACUACCUACGGGUGAAAUCAGGGGAUCUUCGGACCUUGCGCGAUUGAAUGAGCCGAUGUCGGAUUAGCUAGUUGGCGGGGUAAAGGCCCACCAAGGCGACGAUCCGUAGCUGGUCUGAGAGGAUGAUCAGCCACACUGGAACUGAGACACGGUCCAGACUCCUACGGGAGGCAGCAGUGGGGAAUAUUGGACAAUGGGCGCAAGCCUGAUCCAGCCAUACCGCGUGGGUGAAGAAGGCCUUCGGGUUGUAAAGCCCUUUUGUUGGGAAAGAAAAGCAGCAGGUUAAUACCCCGCUGUUCUGACGGUACCCAAAGAAUAAGCACCGGCUAACUUCGUG
This 492-nucleotide ribosomal RNA is filed under the name uncultured bacterium. RNAcentral's name for it is "partial 16S ribosomal RNA". It matches the Rfam family "Bacterial small subunit ribosomal RNA", at positions 29 to 507 of the family's 1533-position model. The record is from RNAcentral.